GCUUGAGUGAGCAGCAGCAGCAGUGCUGGAGACGAGGGAUAAUUUGCAGCAGCAGCUCCUUAUUCCUCCCUCAGACUCCCCGGUUGCUUGGCAUUCGCGGCAAGAGCCCGUGUGAGGGGCCAGAGGGGACACUGCAGAACGAAUGCUAGGGAGACUGCAAAACGCUGGUGCCCCCUGUUGCCUGAGAUGGGUGAGCCAUGCAGUCCAUCCUGGUGGUUGCUGCUGCAGUGGCCUGAUGUAGAGGUGAGGUACUACAGGUGCCUACAGGG
Molecule: long non-coding RNA, 269 nt
Organism: Mauremys mutica (yellowpond turtle)
Lineage: Eukaryota; Metazoa; Chordata; Testudines; Geoemydidae
Exons: 3
Source: RefSeq, a predicted model, not a curated record